RNAcentral lists this ribosomal RNA (484 nucleotides) under uncultured bacterium. RNAcentral describes it as "partial 16S ribosomal RNA". It matches the Rfam family "Bacterial small subunit ribosomal RNA", at positions 899 to 1397 of the family's 1533-position model. The record is from RNAcentral.
ACUCAAAUGAAUUGACGGGGGCCCGCACAAGCAGCGGAGCGUGUGGUUUAAUUCGAGGCUACACGAAGAACCUUACCUGGGUUUGAAAAGCAGGUGGUAGCGGGCGGAAACGUCAGCGACCUUCGGGAGCCUGCACAGGUGCUGCAUGGCUGUCGUCAGCUCGUGCCGUGAGGUGUUAGGUUAAGUCCUGUAACGAGCGCAACCCCCGGUCGUAGUUACAAGUGUCUACGACGACUGCCCGUGACAAGCGGGAGGAAGGUGGGGAUGACGUCAAGUCAGCAUGGCCUUUAUAUCCAGGGCUACACACACGCUACAAUGGUCGGUACAAUGGGCAGCCAAGCCGCAAGGCGGAGCUAAUCCAGCAAAGCCGGUCACAGUUCGGAUUGUGGGCUGCAACCCGCCCACAUGAAGUUGGAGUUGCUAGUAACCGCGCGUCAGCCAUAGUGCGGUGAAUACGUUCCCGGGCCUUGUACACACCGCCCGU